AGCCUGAACGCUGGCGGCGUGGCUAAGACAUGCAAGUCGUACGGAGGUAGCAAUACCUCAGUGGCGAACGGGUGAGUAAUGAAUCGCUAACGUGCCCUGGACUUCGGGAUAGCUAUCCGAAAGGGUAGGUAAUACCGGGUGAUAUACCCUUUCCGCAUGGAAGGGGUCUCAAAGGUCCGCCGGUCUUCGGUGGAUGGUCUGGGAGCGGGCGAUUUCGUAUCAGCUAGUUGGUGGGGUAACGGCCCACCAAGGCGACGACGCGUAGCCGGACUGAGAGGUUGGCCGGCCACAUUGGGACUGAGACACUGCCCAGACUCCUACGGGGGCUGCAGUAACGAAUCUUCCGCAAUGCACGAAAGUGUGACGGAGCGACGCCGCGUGGAGGACGAAGUUCUUCGGAAUGUAAACUCCUGUCAGGGAAAGAAAGUUCUGAUCUACCCAGAGGAAGAGGCGGCUAACUCUGCGCCAGCAGCCGC
RNAcentral lists this ribosomal RNA (476 nucleotides) under uncultured bacterium. RNAcentral describes it as "partial small subunit ribosomal RNA". It matches the Rfam family "Bacterial small subunit ribosomal RNA", at positions 26 to 518 of the family's 1533-position model. The record is from RNAcentral.